Molecule: ribosomal RNA, 465 nt
Filed under: uncultured bacterium
Lineage: Bacteria
Description: partial 16S ribosomal RNA
Rfam family: Bacterial small subunit ribosomal RNA
Source: RNAcentral
GACGAACGCUGGCGGCGUGCUUAACACAUGCAAGUCGAACGGAAAGGCCCUGCUUGCGGGGUACUCGAGUGGCGAACGGGUGAGUAACACGUGGGUGAUCUGCCCUGCACUUCGGGAUAAGCCUGGGAAACUGGGUCUAAUACCGGAUAGGAGCCAUUUUUAGUGUGAUGGUUGGAAAGUUUUUUCGGUGUAGGAUGAGCUCGCGGCCUAUCAGCUUGUUGGUGGGGGAAUGGCCUACCAAGGCGGCGGCGGGUAGCCGGCCUGGGGGGGUGGACGGCCACAGUGGGACCGGGGUUCGGCCCAGACCCCUACGGGGGGCAGGCGUGGGGAAUAUUGCACAAUGGGCGCAAGCCGGAUGCAGCGACGCCGCGGGGGGGAUUACGGCCUUCGGGUUGUAAACUCCUUUCGCUAGGUACGAAGCUUUUUGUGACGGUACCUAGAUAAGAAGCACCGGCUAACUACGUG